This 253-nucleotide ribosomal RNA is filed under the name uncultured bacterium. Its description in RNAcentral is "partial 16S ribosomal RNA". It matches the Rfam family "Bacterial small subunit ribosomal RNA", at positions 524 to 776 of the family's 1533-position model. The record is from RNAcentral.
UACGGAGGGUGCAAGCGUUGUCCGGAAUUAUUGGGCGUAAAGCGCUCGUAGGCGGUUUGUAGCGUCUGCUGUGAAAACUCGGGGCUCAACUCCGAGCUUGCAGUGGGUACGGGCAGACUAGAGUGCGGUAGGGGAGACUAGAAUUCCUGGUGUAGCGGUGGAAUGCGCAGAUAUCAGGAGGAACACCGGUGGCGAAGGCGGGUCUCUGGGCGGUAACUGACGCUGAGGAGCGAAAGCAUGGGGAGCGAACAGG